Molecule: ribosomal RNA, 253 nt
Filed under: uncultured bacterium
Lineage: Bacteria
Description: partial 16S ribosomal RNA
Rfam family: Archaeal small subunit ribosomal RNA
Source: RNAcentral
UACCAGCACCCCGAGUGGUCGGGACGAUUAUUGGGCCUAAAGCAUCCGUAGCCGGUUCUACAAGUCUUCCGUUAAAUCCACCUGCUUAACAGAUGGGCUGCGGAGGAUACUAUAGAGCUAGGAGGCGGGAGAGGCAAGCGGUACUUAGUGGGUAGGGGUAAAAUCCGUUGAUCCAGUGAAGGCCACCAGUGGCGAAGGCGGCUUGCCAGAACGCACUCGACGGUGAGGGAUGAAAGCUGGGGGAGCAAACCGG